ACAGGCAUUUUUAAAAGAAAUCUGAGAGAGGCAAUGGAGUCUUACUUUUCCAAGCAGUAAGGGAGGAUGCCAGCAGCAAGCACGCGUUGCAUUCCGUAUUUCCUUUGCUUCCACUCCUCACUGCUGGACUAGGAGGGAGAUUUGCAAGGCCGAGAUGGUUUUAUUUUCCUCUGUAUUUUGCGAAUAGUACCAGCGUUUAGGUGGCUGCCUUGUCAGAGAAAGCUGCAUACAUCCAAGGAACAAAUUACCAAACCAUAUUUUUUUUUUCUGUUUUCAGAGGUAAGGAAGAUUUGAGUUUGCAGUCUUCAAGUGGGGACAAGUUUGUGUUUUAGCAUUUCCCAGGUAUCUUAGACGACGUAGGAAGCUGAUUUUGUGCUCUCAGAAUGUGUUGAUCUCUAAUUACCGCACAUCUGAACUUGUAUCAGUCUAGAGAAGGAAGCUAUUUAUUAAGAGAUAAGAGUCUAAGGCAUUUUUUUUCUCCUAGACUAGAAGGUUCAUGCAAAUGAAUGAUCACUGAGUAAUUCCUGCCAUGAAAAUAAGGCCCGUUAUCAAAAGAGUAGCCAAAUAUUAUUCCAGAUUGGAUGCAUGAGUUGAGAGAAAGAAGAAGAGAGGAUCAAAGCUUUUCCAAAAAGGAAGAGAAUGCCAAGACAGUAUAUGAUCAUUUGCUCCUAUAACAGUUAGUAGUUCACAGCAAAUGUUUUUAAUUAAAGCAUGGAAUAUGGAAAACAGAAAAACUAAAAAAGCUAGUGCUUUAGUCUCAUCUGAAAUUCUGUGCUUUCCUAGGUUCUCUUCAGACCCAGGCAUCUUGUUGCCUCUCUCCACGAGCUCUGUCACGUGGCUCUUUCAGACUGCCCACCCCUGGGUGCACAGAAAUUUCAAGCAUUAUUUUUGA
Molecule: long non-coding RNA, 892 nt
Filed under: Suricata suricatta (meerkat)
Lineage: Eukaryota; Metazoa; Chordata; Mammalia; Carnivora; Herpestidae
Description: lncRNA (ENSSSUG00005012711.1)
Source: RNAcentral